This 77-nucleotide transfer RNA is filed under the name Bradyrhizobium sp. RNAcentral's name for it is "tRNA-Arg". It matches the Rfam family "tRNA". From Rfam's summary of the family: Transfer RNA (tRNA) molecules are approximately 80 nucleotides in length. Their secondary structure includes four short double-helical elements and three loops (D, anti-codon, and T loops). The record is from RNAcentral. Lineage: Bacteria; Pseudomonadati; Pseudomonadota; Alphaproteobacteria; Hyphomicrobiales; Nitrobacteraceae. RNAcentral also lists the same sequence under 1 other name.
GCGCCCGUAGCUCAGCUGGAUAGAGCGUUGCCCUCCGAAGGCAAAGGUCACACGUUCGAAUCGUGUCGGGUGCGCCA